This 72-nucleotide transfer RNA is filed under the name Caudoviricetes sp. Its description in RNAcentral is "tRNA-Asn". It matches the Rfam family "tRNA". Rfam says of the family: Transfer RNA (tRNA) molecules are approximately 80 nucleotides in length. Their secondary structure includes four short double-helical elements and three loops (D, anti-codon, and T loops). The record is from RNAcentral. Lineage: Duplodnaviria; Heunggongvirae; Uroviricota; Caudoviricetes.
UCCCAUAUAGUUCAAUGGUAGAGCAACGGACUGUUAAUCCGUAGGUUACAGGUUCGAAUCCUGUUGUGGGAG